Molecule: ribosomal RNA, 253 nt
Filed under: uncultured prokaryote
Description: partial 16S ribosomal RNA
Rfam family: Bacterial small subunit ribosomal RNA
Source: RNAcentral
UACGAAGGGUGCAAGCGUUAAUCGGAAUUACUGGGCGUAAAGCGUGCGUAGGUGGUCUUUUAAGUCCGUUGUGAAAGCCCUGGGCUCAACCUGGGAAUGGCAGUGGAUACUGGAAGGCUGGAGUACGGUAGAGGAGGGUGGAAUUCCCGGUGUAGAGGUGAAAUUCGUAGAUAUUCGCAAGAACACCAGUGGCGAAGGCGGCUCACUGGCCCGGUACUGACGCUGAGGUGCGAAAGCGUGGGGAGCAAACAGG